Molecule: long non-coding RNA, 2909 nt
Organism: Ictalurus punctatus (channel catfish)
Lineage: Eukaryota; Metazoa; Chordata; Actinopteri; Siluriformes; Ictaluridae
Source: Ensembl
GGGGACCACAGCUGUAUAUACAGGGAGGGGGUGGGCUCUUUGUCAUGAGCUGUGAUUGGUCCGUCCUUCAGACAGAUGUGGUGUAAUUGGUGCUUCCAUAGUCUAUCACGCCUGAGGUAUUUUCCACAGUGAGAUACCUCGCUCUGUUCUCAGAGAACCAGGGUUAUGCAAGUAACCUAAUGUUUGUUUGUUUUUUUAGAAAGAGCUCCAACCAGAACACUUUAAGGAAACAAACAACCCUAAACUAUCCAAAGAACCUGAGAGGAACUCUUUUAUUCUCCCCAAAUGCUGGAGAAAACACAAAACUAUACAACUCAGAGAAACAAAAAAUAUAUAUGAAGAGGACAGAACAUGGAAAAAGACUGAUGUUACAAGAGAGAAAUAAAUGUAGAUAGACAGACAGCACGCAGAUACAGUCAUCUCUGUGUGUGUGACUGUGGAUGAUGGAAACGGGGUCCGGCUCGGCCGAAACCGAAACCGGCCGAAACCGGCGCUGAUGUCACUCACAUUAACUGCAGAAAACAUGUUUUCAAUUUCAGCCUGGUUCCAUUAUUCCAGAUGUCUCCAAAAGAAAUAAAUCACUUCCUUCCUGUAAGAUCGGUUAUGAAACACUCCUGCAGAUUCAUGAGCUAAUCGAUUAAACGAACACGUUAUGGAUCAUCAUAGACACUAACUCAUCAGGACAAACCGAGCCGUACUGUAUCUGCGCGAAUCGACAACGUGCGGCACAGUCAUGGGGUUCAAACGUAAAUCUGACAGAACGGUGGCGUCUCUCUCUCUCUCUCUCUCUCUCUCUCUCUCUCUCUCCGUUUUUCAUGUUCACGUGUUCGAUGUGGACGGCGGUCUGUCACCGGGAGCAUCGCUGGGUUUCUCCGGGCCCAAUUACAAACCCGAAAAUAGUCUUCGUGCGGCGUGAACAAAAGAUCUGCUGCAGAGCAACCUUUCGCAGACGAGGUUUGGAAAAGGUCGUGUUCCACACACACACACACGCGCGCACACGCCGGAGUCCUCUUCUCCAGCGGCUUGCUACUGCACCAUACACACGGUUCACACUCCGGCGCAUGUACCGGAGGAAAAAAACACGAUAUAUCCGCACACAGGUGGAUUUAUUUAUUUAUUUGUUUAUAUUCUUAAAAAACGAAACAUCACACUUUUUUUUUUUUUUUGGUCAGUUCACGGCGACGGUUAACGUUAUGGAACGUCCACGAAGCGAGCUCGUUCCUGUUGUCACUUACGUUAUAGCAGCUACAGACAAAAGUCUCUCUUAACGUUAACAAGUUCGAACUGACAAAACAAAAAACGUGGGAAAAACGUAAACCGUCAACUCCGCUGUUACACUUUUACCUCAGACCGUUCCAAAUCGCUGACGCUGGAGACUCCUUCCGUAAAUGUUAAACAGCACAGAUGCACACGUUGCCAGUUGCUCCACACACGCACCAGUACACCGGAGCAAAGCACGACCAUGGCUUGACUCAAAUACGUUUUUAUCUCGGGUUGAACCAUUUUCAAUGCUUUUCACCCAGAUAGUAGUUUUGAAGAUAGUUCAGGUCGACAUUUCCAUUCUGUUACCUCAGGUGUGUGCCCGGGGAAACGGUUGCGUUUGUUGUUUUUGUUGUCCGUAAGCCACGUUUUUACGCAGGAGCCCGAGAGAGGCUUGAUGAGAAACGGAAAUAGAAGCAAAAUGGAGUAGCAGCUGGAAGGAAACGAGUGCGGAUGGGACGAAUGGGUAUAAUAUCAGUCGUUAUGUCUGCUGGGGUUUUUACGUUUCAGAAGCUAUCGCAUUCCCAAACAGUGUGUAACGUUGAAUUCUGUUGAUUGGUCUUGAUGAAUUUUCUAGGACAGCAGCUCUGACACUAAUGCAGCUGCAAAUCACAGGUUUUAAUAUAUUAAUGCGCUCGUUCUAAUACCUUAUCGUUUCUAUAGUAACGGCUCAUUCACGGGGACUAGUAUGGUGGAUGUGCGACUAAUAAUAAAGGAAUUCAAAAACGUGUUGAUAUUUUUUGUGAGGAGGUUUAUUUAACGUGUAUUGGAAGGAGUCUCCAGUGUCAGUGCUUUGGAACAGUCAGAGGUAAAAGCUGUGACCCUGAUAACUGGGUAAUGGUUUCAGGCCACCCAUCCCAUCAUGCAUCCUAACCGUGACACUACAGACACACCGCACACUUAUCCUCGGUUUGUUCACAGUUCCACUUCCACGAUAGCAAAGUACGUGCUGUGUAUGAACAACACCUUUGUGCUUAAUAUGCAUCCAAAGCUCAUUUACCUUUCAGUUAAUUACGUGUGACGACUAUUACCAGGUCAGUCGAUUAAUGAUUAAUGUUCCUUGUGGUUUAAUCUGGGAUAUGUCUCAGGAGAACCUUGCUGAGGGAGGUGGCCUAAGAAAAGGGAAAAAUGAAGGAGCUGAAUGCCUCGGUGUAAAGAGCACAGAGGCUAAUUUUCUAGCAAAAGUGUCCAGAAUGUGGAGGGAUGGCCUGGACUAGCAGGAAGAAGACUGGCAGAAAACCGUAAAGGUUUGGAAGUUCGGGAUACGUCAGUAAUGGAUUGUAACAAGCUCGCCUGAGAGAAACCAAAGCUCGUGAGGUCGAUAGCUUUAAUCUGACGUUAGAAAAAAGGCUGACUGUAGGAGGGAGGAGACUGAAUGGGUUAGUAAGAGUCAAGUUUUGUUAGAAGGGCUUGAAAAGGAAACUGGAAUGUUGGCUUCAGGUCCCGUCUUCAGCCAUGUGUAAACUGCGCCAGCUUUCACGAACCUGGAUACCAACCUUGUAUCCCGAUAUGCCGCCUUUCCAUGCAGCUAAUCUCCCAAGAGAGUACAUGCGUUAACCUUAACCCCAGCAUUCCAUGCUAAUGUGUGCUAUUCUGUCAAAUUACAGCAGGUAUACUAACAAUAGGUUUCAUCCGAAAUAAAGGUUGAC